UACGGGGGGGGCAAGCGUUGUUCGGAAUUACUGGGCGUAAAGGGCUCGUAGGCGGCCAACUAAGUCAGACGUGAAAUCCCCAGGCUCAACCUGGGAACUGCGUCUGAUACUGGAAGGCUUGAAUCCGGGAGAGGGAUGCGGAAUUCCAGGUGUAGCGGUGAAAUGCGUAGAUAUCUGGAGGAACACCGGUGGCGAAGGCGGCAUCCUGGACCGGCAUUGACGCUGAGGCGCGAAAGCCAGGGGAGCGAACGGG
Molecule: ribosomal RNA, 253 nt
Filed under: uncultured bacterium
Lineage: Bacteria
Description: partial 16S ribosomal RNA
Rfam family: Bacterial small subunit ribosomal RNA
Source: RNAcentral